CUAAGAGAAAAUCCUGUUGAUCAACAGUCAACUGUUCUAUAAUAUAAACUAACUCUUA
This 58-nucleotide transfer RNA is filed under the name Toxascaris leonina. Its description in RNAcentral is "tRNA-Asn". The record is from RNAcentral. Lineage: Eukaryota; Metazoa; Nematoda; Chromadorea; Rhabditida; Ascarididae.